Molecule: small nuclear RNA, 107 nt
Organism: Bison bison bison
Lineage: Eukaryota; Metazoa; Chordata; Mammalia; Artiodactyla; Bovidae
Source: Ensembl
GGAACACAAUGCUGGCUUCAUACACCCAAAUUGGAACAAUACAGAGACCAUUAGCCUGGCCCCCAUGCAAGGAUGACGUGAAAACUCAUGACAUGUGCCAUGUUUUU